RNAcentral lists this ribosomal RNA (485 nucleotides) under uncultured bacterium. RNAcentral's name for it is "bacterial SSU rRNA". It matches the Rfam family "Bacterial small subunit ribosomal RNA", at positions 28 to 507 of the family's 1533-position model. The record is from RNAcentral.
GAUGAACGCUAGCGGCAGGCUUAAUACAUGCAAGUCGAGGGGGUAACAUUAUCGCUUGCGAUAGAUGACGACCGGCAAACGGGUGCGUAACACGUAUGCAACUUACCUUCAACAAAGGGAUAGCCCAGAGAAAUUUGGAUUAAUACCUUAUACGAUACUGAUUCGCAUGAUGAAGUAUUGAAAAACUCCGGUGGUUGAAGAUGGGCAUGCGGCCUAUUAGCUAGUUGGUGUGGUAACGGCACACCAAGGCAACGAUAGGUAGGGGCCCUGAGAGGGGGAUCCCCCACACUGGUACUGAGACACGGACCAGACUCCUACGGGAGGCAGCAGUAAGGAAUAUUGGACAAUGGACGAAAGUCUGAUCCAGCCAUGCCGCGUGCAGGAUGACAGCCCUACGGGUUGUAAACUGCUUUUAUACGGGAAGAAAAACACCUACGUGUAGGUGACUGACGGUACCGUAAGAAUAAGGACCGGCUAACUCCGUG